Molecule: ribosomal RNA, 454 nt
Filed under: uncultured Parabacteroides sp.
Lineage: Bacteria; Pseudomonadati; Bacteroidota; Bacteroidia; Bacteroidales; Tannerellaceae
Description: partial 16S ribosomal RNA
Rfam family: Bacterial small subunit ribosomal RNA
Source: RNAcentral
ACGGGAGGCAGCAGUGAGGAAUAUUGGUCAAUGGAGGCAACUCUGAACCAGCCAUCUCGCGUGAAGGAAUACGGCCCUAUGGGUCUUAAACUUCUUUUAUAGGGGGAUAAAGUGAGGCAUGCAUGCCUUUUUGUAGGUACCCUAUGAAUAAGCAUCGGCUAACUCCGUGCCAGCAGCCGCGGUAAUACGGAGGAUGCGAGCGUUAUCCGGAUUUAUUGGGUUUAAAGGGUGCGCAGGCGGCACGUUAAGUCAGCGGUGAAAUGCAGGGGCUCAACCCCGGCACUGCCGUUGAAACUGGCGAGCUCGAGUACGGAUGAAGUCGGCGGAAUGUGAUGUGUAGCGGUGAAAUGCUUAGAUAUGUCACAGAACACCGAUCGAGAAGUCAGGUCACGAGCUCGCAACUGACGCUCAGGCACGAAAGCGUGGGGAUCAAACAGGAUUAGAUACCCUGGUA